This 500-nucleotide ribosomal RNA is filed under the name uncultured bacterium. Its description in RNAcentral is "partial 16S ribosomal RNA". It matches the Rfam family "Bacterial small subunit ribosomal RNA", at positions 30 to 523 of the family's 1533-position model. The record is from RNAcentral.
AUUGAACGCUGGCGGCAUGCUUUACACAUGCAAGUCGAACGGUAACAGGGUGCUUGCACCGCUGACGAGUGGCGAACGGGUGAGUAAUGCGUCGGAACGUGCCGAGUAGUGGGGGAUAACGCAGCGAAAGUUGUGCUAAUACCGCAUACGUACUGAGGUAGAAAGUGGGGGACCUUCGGGCCUUACGCUAUUGGAGCGGCCGACGUCUGAUUAGCUAGUAGGUGGGGUAAAGGCUCACCUAGGCGACGAUCAGUAGCGGGUCUGAGAGGAUGAUCCGCCACACUGGGACUGAGACACGGCCCAGACUCCUACGGGAGGCAGCGGUGGGGAAUUUUGGACAAUGGGCGAAAGCCUGAUCCAGCCAUGCCGCGUGUCUGAAGAAGGCCUUCGGGUUGUAAAGGACUUUUGUCAGGGAGGAAAUCCCUAGUGCUAAUAACACUGGGGGAUGACAGUACCUGAAGAAUAAGCACCGGCUAACUACGUGCCAGCCGCCGCCGUAA